AGCGCUCAAUCGAGAACCACUCAUUCGUUUUUAAUAAAAAUGUUUUUUUUUACGUUACCGCAACAGCGAGUCUCUGCGAGCUUACGUGUAGCUUAUGUGUAGGCUAGGCUAAGCUACAGUUAGCUGCUUAUUAGCUAGCUCUCCCUGUGAGCCUUAACGUUACAGUAUUUCUAAAGACGAAUGGUGAAAUAAUACUGGUUUAUUUAGAAUCUAGCUUCCUAGCUGUCCCUAGCGUAUCCUUGAUUUGGCUAAACAAAUGCGUGUUUUUCCUUGUUUUCUAUUGAAACUCCGUGCAUCCUGUGUGUUUUCUGCAAUUAACACCCAUAAUAAAAUUUAAGAAUCUAAACAGUUUAAGUCACUGUCAGAUUAGUUUGGAUAUUAUGUAAAUAACUUCCAUAUGAUACUAAAAUUGUAAACAAUGUCCUCCAAUUUACUUAUCCUGUGACCUUAAAAAAGAAAAUUCGUCUCAAACAUUUGAUUUUAGAUGUUGGAAUGAAAUUGUACACACGUAUUUCAUGAGUGAUUUUCAUGAUCGGGUUAGGAUACAUAGUUGUUUAGUAGUUUUUGUUAAUUAUUGUUAAUUAGUAAAAUAAUAUUGAUCAAAUGAGGAGAUGUUGGGGUUUUCAUACAUCUGCAAAAUUCCAUAAAUGCUCUUUAGAUGUAUAACAAUGUAGAGCUGCAACAUUUCUUCUAAGCUUCUUGCUAAAUGUUUUAAUUCAAUUGCAUCUUAAUAUCUCUGGAGUUAAUACCAGAGGAUGGGAAGUAACGGAAGUACUAAUACUUAAGUAGUUUUUUUAGGUAUCUGUACUUGAGUAUUUUUUUUCUGACAACUUUUUACUCCCUACAUUUGAGCCUAAAUAUCUGUACUUUCUACUCCUUACAUUUUCAAAAUGGUCUCGUUACUUCGACAUUUCCCUCUCGUACUGCACGUAUUACACGUAUGUCGAUGGCGUCAUUACGUAACUGUCGGAACAAAACAGAGGGAAAAAAAUCAAUGGUGCGGCGAGGAGUCCGGUGGGAGCGCGGUUUGAGACCCAGAAGAACACUAACUAACAACAUGGAUGAUGACAGUGGCCUGAGAAAUGCUGCAGGUUUGGAGGAGCGAUGCAUUCAUCAUCCUUGGCCUUAUUUAAAAUAACUCUUUAACGUUGUUGGCUCCAAGAACGAUUCGUGGCGGAUGCGCUGUGUUUUGUGCCAGCCUAAAAAACCUCGAGCUUCUGGCGUUUUAAGAAUUCACCAUCAAAUCUGAAAAAACACGUACAGAGGAAGCACGCAAAUCACCUGGAAAGGUAUAACGAGCUAACAUCGCCCAGUCUGAAGCGGAAAUUGAACACCGACAACAGAGGCCCAAACAAACAACUAAAAUUGUGGGAAACCAAGAGAGUUUCACAAAAAAGCAUGGAUGAUGCCAUCAUUAACUUUGUUGUACAAGGUCUGCACCCGCUCAGUGUUGUCGAACAGGAGGGUUUCAAAACUUGUGCAUCACCUACAACCAGAUGUGACUGUAAUGUCACGAGGCACCAUAAAGAACAAAGUUGAGAAAGUAACACUGGAAAUGAAGAAAAAUCUAAAGGCUGCUUUGAAUGUGGUUGAGCACAUUGCUACCACCACAGACUGCUGGACUGCACACAGACGAAGUUUCAUCGGUGUCACAGCACACUGGAUAGAGCCUGAAACCAUGGGAAGAUGCUCUGCUGCACUAGCAUGCAAACAGCUCAAAGGGCCGCACACAUUUUCUGCACUCGCUGUUGCACUAAACGACAUACAUACAGUGCACUAAAAAUUUCAAUGUUGACUCCUGCUAAGACAGAAUAUGCGAUGAGUCCAUUUGCAAAGGCGGUUGAUGUUCUUCAGGGAGAGGCCAGUGUGCAAAUGGGAUGGCUGGUACCCACAAUAACACUACUCAAGAAAAAGCUUCAGCACCUUCGACCUUCCUCCAAGUUCUGUGGGCCUUUGAUAGAUGCUCUUCAAGGAGGACUUGAAAAAAGCGUUUCCAACAGAUGCUUGCUGAUCCAGAGCUCAUUGCUGCAGCUAUUCUUGUCCCCAAGUUCAGGAACUGUUGGACACGUGACAACAGUACCCUGAAUCUUGGUCUUGGCAACCCGUGGUGCAGCCAGGCAACACGUCCUUUUCUUCAGAGGAGGAGGACUUCUUUUUCACCAUCAGGCAGGGCAAGAAUCAGGAAAACGCCAAGCAGCUGGAGUCCUACCUGGCCUGUCCAUCAGAUUCUAUGGAUAUCUUGAAAUCUUUUCCAGCAGUAUGCAAUUUAUCACUGAAGCUGAACACACCUCUGCCUGCCUCAACUGCUUGUGAGAGGCUUUUCAGCACUGCAGGACUCAUUUUCAGACUCAAAAGGGCACAGGUUGAUGCAAAGAACUUCUGAUGAAGCUCAAUAAGUGUUUUAGUCUCAAACAGUCAAUUCCUCUAAAAAGGAAAUAAUACUUUUGAAGUGACUUUGAUUCCAUGAUCACAAUGUUUUAAGUCAAGUUGCCGAAAAAACUAUUGCAGUUAAAUGCUCCCAUAUGUGGUGAUAGCAACAACAUUAAUAGCAUCAUAUCUCCAGGAAUUGUUGUGUUGUUGAAAUAAACUUCUCAUUCUAAACCAGAUGCUUUUUUUCCUGUUAUUUAAUGUUUAAUUUUUUUACCUUUUACUUUUUGUACUUAAGUACUUUUUAGAGCCUGUAUUUUUUACUUUUACUUAAGUAAAUAAAUUCGCUCAGUACUUUCACUUUUACCAGAGUAGUUUUUUUUACUCAGGUAUCUGUACUUCUACUUAAGUAAAGAACGUCGGUACUUUUGCCAUCUCUGGUUAAUGAUGUUAGCUAGUUUGUUCCUGCAAAUAAAUUUGUUGUUUAAUGUUAAUGGUUUACAAUCCCACUGCUACCAAUAAAAGUAUCUAAUGCAAUUGUCUAAACCUCUUUAUUGAAUAAAGAUUACAUGUCGAAA
This is a non-coding RNA of Nothobranchius furzeri (turquoise killifish), 2945 nucleotides long. Lineage: Eukaryota; Metazoa; Chordata; Actinopteri; Cyprinodontiformes; Nothobranchiidae. The record is from RefSeq and is a predicted model, not a curated record.